GAUGAACGCUGGCGGCGUGCCUAAUACAUGCAAGUCGAGCGAACGGACGAGAAGCUUGCUUCUCUGAUGUUAGCGGCGGACGGGUGAGUAACACGUGGAUAACCUACCUAUAAGACUGGGAUAACUUCGGGAAACCGGAGCUAAUACCGGAUAAUAUUUUGAACCGCAUGGUUCAAAAGUGAAAGGCGGUCUUGCUGUCACUUAUAGAUGGAUCCGCGCUGCAUUAGCUAGUUGGUAAGGUAACGGCUUACCAAGGCAACGAUGCAUAGCCGACCUGGGAGGGUGAUCGGCCACACUGGGACUGAGACGCGGUCCAGACUCCUACGGGAGGCAGCAGUAGGGAAUCUUCCGCAAUGGGCGAAAGCCUGACGGAGCAACGCCGCGUGAGUGAUGAAGGUCUUCGGAUCGUAAAACUCUGUUAUUAGGGAAGAACAUAUGUGUAAGUAACUGUGCACAUCUUGACGGUACCUAAUCAGAAAGCCACGGCUAACUACGUG
Molecule: ribosomal RNA, 497 nt
Filed under: uncultured bacterium
Lineage: Bacteria
Description: partial 16S ribosomal RNA
Rfam family: Bacterial small subunit ribosomal RNA
Source: RNAcentral